GGUGGCCGCAGAGAAUAGGCCCAAGCGACUGUUUACCAAAAACAUAGGUUUCUGCUAAGUCGCAAGACGAUGUAUAGGAGCUGACGCCUGCCCGGUGCUGGAAGGUUAAGGGGAUCUGUUAGAGCAAUCGAAGCAGUGAACUUAAGCCCCAGUAAACGGCGGCCGUAACUAUAACGGUCCUAAGGUAGCGAAAUUCCUUGUCGGGUAAGUUCCGACCCGCACGAAAGGCGUAACGAUUUGGGCACUGUCUCAACAACAGACUCGGUGAAAUUGUAAUUCCGGUGAAGAUGCCGGAUACCUGCGACAGGACGGAAAGACCCCAUGGAGCUUUACUGUAGCUUGACAUUGGGUCUUGGUACUACAUGUACAGGAUAGGUGGGAGGCUUUGAAACCAGGACGCCAGUUUUGGCGGAGCCAUCCUUGGGAUACCACCCUUGUAGUACUGGGACUCUAACCAUAGGCCAUGAAUCUGGUCUUGGGACACUGUCAGGUGGGCAGUUUGACUGGGGCGGUCGCCUCCCAAAAGGUAACGGAGGCGCUCAAAGGUUCUCUCAGUACGGUCGGAAAUCGUACGUAGAGUGUAAAGGCAAAAGAGAGCUUGAUUGCAAGACAUACAGGUCGAGCAAGGAUGAAAAUCGGACUUAGUGAUCCGGUGGUUCUGCGUGGAAGGGCCAUCGCUCAACGGAUAAAAGCUACCCUGGGGAUAACAGGCUUAUCUCCCCCAAGAGUCCACAUCGACGGGGAGGUUUGGCACCUCGAUGUCGGCUCAUCACAUCCUGGGGCUGUAGUAGGUCCCAAGGGUUGGGCUGUUCGCCCAUUAAAGUGGUACGCGAGCUGGGUUCAGAACGUCGUGAGACAGUUCGGUCCCUAUCCGUCGCAGGCGUAGGAAAUUUGAGGAGACCUGUCCUUAGUACGAGAGGACCGGGAUGGACGUACCUCUGGUGUACCAGUUGUUCUGCCAAGGGCAUGGCUGGGUAGCUAUGUACGGAAUGGAUAAGCGCUGAAAGCAUCUAAGCGCGAAGCCAACUUCAAGAUAAGAUUUCCCACCGCAAGGGUAAGACCCCAGAAAGACUAUCUGGUUGAUAGGUCGAAGGUGUAAGUGCAGCAAUGUAUUUAGCUUAUCGAUACUAAUAGGUCGAGGACUUGACCAA
This 1151-nucleotide ribosomal RNA is filed under the name Clostridioides sp. ZZV14-6150. RNAcentral's name for it is "partial 23S ribosomal RNA". It matches the Rfam family "Bacterial large subunit ribosomal RNA", at positions 1772 to 2925 of the family's 2925-position model. The record is from RNAcentral. Lineage: Bacteria; Bacillati; Bacillota; Clostridia; Peptostreptococcales; Peptostreptococcaceae.